This is a long non-coding RNA of Mirounga angustirostris (Northern elephant seal), 3845 nucleotides long. RefSeq lists it as uncharacterized. The record is from RefSeq and is a predicted model, not a curated record. The transcript has 4 exons. Lineage: Eukaryota; Metazoa; Chordata; Mammalia; Carnivora; Phocidae.
AUUUCCCUCUUUAAUGGAAAAAAACAUGGACGGAAGGCGGAGGAGCAUAAAUCUUGCAAGUUGCUUUUCCGAGACCAGCCAGAACUAGCCCUAAAGGCAGACGCUGUGCGCUCCUCGCUGGGCUGCUGGCGGCUGUAUUCUUCUCAUUUCGAUUUCAACAAGUAGUCCCAGCCAGAGAAGCAUUAGAAGAUCAAGCCUCACAUCUUCUGGUCACAGAAUUCCUUUCUGCAGGCUCCACUGCAGGCUCAGGCCGCCGCGUAACCUGAGACGCCUCAAUUUCCCAGCAGACAGCACAUUAAAGGGAGGUCUCCCGGCCAGCUGCAGAGACAGAAAGCAGAGGUCACAGAGAUAAACGUCAGCUGUCAGAAGAGCCGCAGAUGAAGGUGAUAUUCAUUUCUAAUGGUUUCUGAGAAGAGAGACCAUCAGAGUGAAAUCCAGUAAUCCCGCAUUUCUGAUCCCAUGCCUACCGAGACGCUCAAACUUGAGUGCAGACCUUGUGGCAAUGAAGAACAGCUGGACACCAUCCUCUGUGAUAAUAACCUUCAUAUAGUGGAAACCCGAAUGGUUUUGGACAUGGUACUCACAAAAACAUCCCCUUGCAUGAUGUCGCUUAUUUGGUAUUUCCCCCUGUAAAUAGCUAGAUUCCUUAUAGCCAGCCCUUCCAGCCACGAUCACAUUUUGGCUCUGUUCAGUAUAAUGCAAGCAUUUUCUGCCCCGUCUAUUCAGGAAUGUCUUCCGAGGAGGUUUCACAAUAAAAUUUAUUGUGUUUAAUUUAUGACAUACAAUGUAAGAAGAAUGGAAUGCCUUUCUGUUAGGAUUUGCAUUGAUAAUGAAAGGUUACCAUAGUGCCGGUCCGCUUUUACCAAAUUUGCCAAAUUCUGAAGGGAAUGCCAAUUAGAAGGCGGUAAUGUUUCUCACUGCAGCAGAUUGAGACCAAUACCUGGUGGCGAGGACCCGUCGCUGUUGGCUGGACCUUACUUCUAAUUGGGAAAGAAGGCAAAUGCUGCAUCAAAUAGUGUUUAUGAAGUGAUAUCAAUCAUUCCAAGUAAGAGCCACACCCCAAGGAAGCUGAGGAAGUGAUUCAAUCUUUCUGAGGUCAUCUUUUCUAUUAACAUCGGGGUAGCCAAAAAUCUGAAAACGCUCACAUUUUGCUCUCUUUAGGAAAAAACAACAUUGAUUUUAGAGGCUUUUGUUAUGGAGGCCAGGGGGAUUUUCCCACUGCAGCUAAGAGGAAGCUGGGUUUGGAUUGGGAAGCCAGACAUUUCUUGGCCUGAGUUUCUCACUUGAAUGGGAUUCUAGUUUGCCCCCUCCUCACCUCGCCAAUCCCCAAGCAGCUAGAAGCCCCACCUCCUCCCUUGGACCAUAUGGGGAAGCUGGCUCAGUGGCUGUUAUUCUACUGACUCCAAGUUCACGCAGCUGUUCAUUCCCUGCUUAAUGUACCGGUAAUUACAGCAAUGUGCUCUUCUCUUUUUCCAAUCAUGUAACUUUUUUCUAAUGGAAAAUGAUUUGUUUUUAACAACUUCCAUGCAUUUUGUUCUUUAAUAAGAAAGGGUGUCUCAUGGUACUGAGAGAUUGAAUUCUCUAUAAAAAGCAAAAGUCUCUAUAUCAGUUUCCAGCUCCAUAGGAGGGCUCCGUGGGACUAGCCAAAAUUGGGGGGGGGGGGACUUAAAUGGGUGUAACUAACUUGAUAUGAAUAGGUCAGUUGGGAAACAAAGCAAGCUCAUUGCCUUCUUUCUGCACAUGGAGGUGGUGAAAGAACAUUUUUAAAAAAUGUGAAACUGGGAAAAAUCAAAAGUACAAAUUGAGCUCUUCUUUCAUGAUCCAAAUCCAGUAUGCUCUCAAAGGAUUUUUAAAACAAAUAUCUGAAGAGCUUUUCACUUAUCUGAGUUCUAUCUUUUGGAGCAUGUAAAUUUUCUGCUUUGAUGGUUGGGUUUGGGUGGAGGACUCAGAUGAUAGCAAGGGAUGCAUCUUUCCCUUCAGCCAUGCCCAGCUCUGGGGCACAGAUAAAACAUGUGUUUGUUCAUGUUAUCAUUUCAUUUGUGGAUAAAACAUAUCACCCUUGGAAUCUCUGCCUUUGUAGCUCCCUAAGUGGCACUGGGAGUCAUUGCAAGAGGAUCAUUUCUAAAGCAAAACUUUUCCAACUCAUUAGAAUACUUCGUUUUGGAGGUUUUAUGUAAAAAAAAAUAUAUAUAUAUAUAUAUAUUAAUUAAGCAACAGUUGUAGUAAAGAAAACCAAAUCAAAUCCCUGUGUGUGGAUGGAAUUGCUAGUUCUAUACAAGACGUAAAGCUGAUUUGAUCAGGAGGAUGAUAGCAAAAUGAAUGUUUCCUUUAUAUGAAAAUUCAAAAUUCAAGGAAGUUGAGAGCAUGAUAGAUUUCACGUGCAAAUCGAAUAUGCCUCAUUUGACAUUUUAGGGAUUCAUAGAAUUUAAGAUCUAGCUGAAGUUAUAAGAUAGAUGUUCGGAGCCCUAAAUCCUUUAGUGCUAAAAUGUAUCCAUAUCUUCGAGGGGCAUUAAUUUUAUUACUUGCGUAUUCCCUUUACACUAAUAAUGGUGGGUAACAACAUGAUUUGCCAGGAACUACCUAUCUCUUAUCUAGCUCCCCCUCCAGAAAUCUGUAGGUUUUUCUUAGAAGUUCCGUCAGAAGUUUUAUGACACCAAAGUGAGGAAAUUUAAAAUACUCAUUUUGGAACUUGGAAGUAAAUGACUUCUAAAUUUGCAAUAACGUUGGUAAAACAGUUGCUUGCCUUAAGAACCAUCAGAGGUACAACAGCAAGGAGGAUUGGCUUUGGUUCCUCUGAAGUCUUUAGUUAGAAGCUGCACACAUGGCCGCCUGCAGUGAGGGGGUCGGUGCUACCUCAUGAAUCCAGUGCAUGAGUCUACAUUUGAUUUCACCCUCUAGGAAAUCAUUGUUUCAGCUUUGUGAAAAGUAGAAAUUCUACUUAACAUAUUUCAGCAAGCUUUGAGAAUUAGGAUCUUCAGAAUUAGUAGCAAGACUCUAAUCCAGGUGUCUAUCUUACCUCAAAUUCUAUUUCUUCAGAUGAUUGCAUCAGUUGCUUUGAGAAGAUUUUAUUUAUAAAGCUUUAAGUUACUUUGAUAUCCAUUAGACUUUCAAAAUUUAUCAUCUGAUGAAUGUCCAAAUAAGUAGUUGUAUGAUAAAUCAUUGUCCUCAUUCCUACUUAUUCAGUCAGCAAUUUUUUUUUUAUUUUUUCCAUUUUUAUUGAGGAAUAACUGACAAAUUUGUAUAUAUUUAAAAUGUACAAUGUGAUGAUUUGGUAUAUAUUCUGAAGGGUUAUCACAAUCAAGUUCACUAACACAUCCAUCACCUCACACAGUUACCUUUUAUUAUGUGUGUAGUGAGAAUGCUUAAUUAAGAUCUACUCUUAUAGCAAUUUUUAAGUGUGCAAUACAGUAUUAUUAACUAUAGUCACCCUGCUGUACAUUGGAUUGCCAGGACUUAUUGGUUUUAUAACUAAAACUUUGUAUCCUUUGACCAACAUCUCCCCAUUUCCUCCACCCCUAGUCCCUGGCAAGCACCGUUUUACUCUCUACUUCUAUGAGUUCAAACUUUUUUUUUUUUUAGAUUCCACAUAUAAAUGAUGUCAUGCAGUGUUUGUUUUUCUCUGUUCUCUGUCUGGCUUAUUUCACUUAACAUAAUGCCCUCCUGUUUCACUCAUGAUGUUGCAAAUAAUAGGAUUUCCUUGUUUGUUUGUUUGUUUGUUUUAAGCUGAAUAAUAUUCCAUCAUAUAUGUACCACAUCUUCUUUAUUUAUCUGUUGACAAACACUUGGGUUAUUUUCCUACACUGGCUAUUGUGAAUAAUGCUGCAAUAAACAUGGAGGUACAGAUA